Molecule: ribosomal RNA, 371 nt
Filed under: uncultured bacterium
Lineage: Bacteria
Description: bacterial SSU rRNA
Rfam family: Bacterial small subunit ribosomal RNA
Source: RNAcentral
AGAGGUCUCAAGCGUUGUUCGGAUUCAUUGGGCGUAAAGGGUGCGUAGGUGGCGCCAUAAGUCGGGUGUGAAAUCUCGGGGCUUAACUCCGAAACUGCAUUCGAUACUGUGGUGCUCGAGGACUGGAGAGGAGACUGGAAUUCAUGGUGUAGCAGUGAAAUGCGUAGAGAUCAUGAGGAAGACCAGUGGCGAAGGCGGGUCUCUGGACAGUUCCUGACACUGAGGCACGAAGGCCAGGGGAGCAAACGGGAUUAGAUACCCCGGUAGUCCUGGCAGUAAACGGUGCACGUUUGGUGUGGGAGGAUUCGACCCCUUCUGCGCCGGAGCUAACGCGUUAAACGUGCCGCCUGGGGAGUACGGUCGCAAGAUUA